Amphimedon queenslandica is the source of this 666-nucleotide long non-coding RNA. RefSeq lists it as uncharacterized. The transcript is spliced from 3 exons. NCBI's taxonomy places the organism in Eukaryota, Metazoa, Porifera, Demospongiae, Haplosclerida, Niphatidae. The record is from RefSeq and is a predicted model, not a curated record.
CGACAGUUACAAUGGUCAAAUUCUCAUUUUGCUGCUUGUGAUGAAAACUGCUAUAUUGUGCCACUUUUAGAGUCACUUAAGCAGCUUCUUUCUAAUGACUUCAUCUUUAAUGAUGUAAACAAGAGCCAUCAAAGAACUGAUAAUAUUCUAUGAGACUUUUGUGAUGGUCAGGCUUACAAAGAUCACCUUUUAUUCCAAGAUCAUCCUAAUGCUUUACAAAUCAUGCUUUAUUAUGAUGAUGUUGAAGUAUGUAACCCUAUUGGCUCAAAAGCGAAGAUACAUAAAUUAGGUCAGUUUAAAUUGAGUCAGCUGAACGUUUUCAAUGUUCAAAUAGGUUUAUUUUAUUACACUCUUGGAAACUUGUCCCCAAAGUACCGGUCAUCUAUGGUAACCAUUCAACUUGUUGCCAUUGUUAAAUACACCUUACUACAACGAUAUGGCCAUGAAGCAAUUCUUCGUCCAUUUAUUGAUGAUGUAAAAGCUCUAGAAAGUGAUGCUGGUGUUACUCUGUGGAUUAAUGGAAAAUCUCAUACUAUUCAUGGAACUGUUUCAGUUAUGGCAGCAGAUAACCUUGCCAGUUGGAGUAUUGGAGGUUACAAAACAUUAGCAUCGGCUAAGAGGAAAUGUCGUUUUUGUAUGGCAACAUCUGAUGAUUUUAAAACAAAA